RNAcentral lists this ribosomal RNA (234 nucleotides) under uncultured bacterium. RNAcentral's name for it is "partial 16S ribosomal RNA". It matches the Rfam family "Bacterial small subunit ribosomal RNA", at positions 111 to 346 of the family's 1533-position model. The record is from RNAcentral.
UAACGCGUGAGCAACCUGCCUUGUACUGGGGGAUAACGUCGGGAAACCGGCGCUAAUACCGCAUAACAUUACGAUAGCGCAUGUUAUUGUAAUCAAAGCUUUAGUGGUACGAGACGGGCUCGCGUCCAAUUAGCUAGUUGGUGAGGUAAAGGCUCACCAAGGCGACGAUUGGUAGCCGAACUGAGAGGUUGAUCGGCCGCAUUGGGACUGAGACACGGCCCAGACUCUACGGGA